UAGGGAAUCUUCCACAAUGGGACGAAAGUCUGAUGGAGCAACGCCGCGUGAGUGAAGAAGGUCUUCGGAUCGUAAAACUCUGUUGUUAGAGAAGAACACGAGUGAGAGUAACUGUUCAUUCGAUGACGGUAUCUAACCAGCAAGUCACGGCUAACUACGUGCCAG
This 165-nucleotide ribosomal RNA is filed under the name uncultured bacterium. Its description in RNAcentral is "partial 16S rRNA". It matches the Rfam family "Bacterial small subunit ribosomal RNA", at positions 355 to 511 of the family's 1533-position model. The record is from RNAcentral.